Long non-coding RNA from Mauremys mutica (yellowpond turtle), 561 nucleotides. RefSeq lists it as uncharacterized. The record is from RefSeq and is a predicted model, not a curated record. NCBI's taxonomy places the organism in Eukaryota, Metazoa, Chordata, Testudines, Geoemydidae. The transcript is spliced from 3 exons.
GGGCCGCCGCAGGGCGGCCAUCUUGGCCCCACAGGGCGCGCCGGGAUCGUUGCCAUGGGAACCGGGCGCCCCUGAGCGGAGCCGCUGCCGCCCGCCGGCCUGGAGCCCAGCGGCUCCCCCCCGCCCCCUGCAGUCAGGGGAGGAGGAAAGAGACCCUAGGCUAGAAACCGGGGCGCUGCAGUCACCUGACUCCAGGAGCUGGGGCUUGGGGGCAUCGCGGUAGCGAUCCGCGCCCCUUUGGCCCCAGGCCGGGCUCGCUGCAGCGAGCAGGCGGAUUGAUGUCUCUCCCACUUCCACCAGACUGGUGCCAGCAGAGAAAAGUGAUAAUCCCAAAUCCAAGAUGGAAAUAGGAAGUGGACUGGACACCUGCAAUGCCCAUAUGAUUUCCAGGAUCUCUUUAACAGAACUUUCUUAAUGGGGAAGGACGUAUAGCAAGGGCUGCCUGAGACAGAGAGAUGAGCUGGAAGACCUCAGUGGUCAGCCUUGGUGACACCACGGUGAGGUCUGCACUCAGCAGGGAACAGAAUGAGGUGUCAGCUUCUAGUAUCUCAGUUCAUGGUG